GAAAUGCGAUAAGUAAUGUGAAUUGCAGAAUUCAGUGAAUCAUCGAAUCUUUGAACGCACCUUGCGCUCCUUGGUAUUCCGAGGAGCAUGCCUGUUUGAGUGUCAUUAACAUAUCAACCCUUCUAGCUUCUUUGCAGGCUGGUUUGUGGCUUGGAUGCUGGGGGUUUUGCUGGCUUUCUCAAGGUCARCUCUCCUGAAAUGCAUUAGCGGAACCGUUUGCGGGUCUGUCACUGGUGUGAUAAUUAUYUGCGCCAAAGUCRGACGUGCUCUCUGUGUGUUCAGCUUACAAUAGUCCCGUUCAUUGGGACAAACUUUAAUGAAUGCUUGGCCUCAAAUCAGGUAGGACUACCCGCUGAACUUAA
Molecule: ribosomal RNA, 362 nt
Filed under: Lepiota aff. acutesquamosa 229-690
Lineage: Eukaryota; Fungi; Basidiomycota; Agaricomycetes; Agaricales; Agaricaceae
Description: eukaryotic LSU rRNA
Rfam family: 5.8S ribosomal RNA (bases 1-105)
Source: RNAcentral